Molecule: ribosomal RNA, 465 nt
Filed under: uncultured bacterium
Lineage: Bacteria
Description: partial 16S ribosomal RNA
Rfam family: Bacterial small subunit ribosomal RNA
Source: RNAcentral
GGCGAACGCUGGCGGCGUGCUUAACACAUGCAAGUCGAACGGAAAGGCCCUGCUUGCAGGGUACUCGAGUGGCGAACGGGUGAGUAACACGUGGGUGAUCUGCCCUGCACUUCGGGAUAAGCCUGGGAAACUGGGUCUAAUACCGGAUAGGAGCCAUUUUUAGUGUGAUGGUUGGAAAGUUUUUUCGGUGUAGGAUGAGCUCGCGGCCUAUCAGCUUGUUGGUGGGGUAAUGGCCUACCAAGGCGGCGACGGGUAGCCGGCCUGAGAGGGUGGACGGCCACAGUGGGACUGAGAUACGGCCCAGACUCCUACGGGAGGCAGCAGUGGGGAAUAUUGCACAAUGGGCGCAAGCCUGAUGCAGCGACGCCGCGGGGGGGAUGACGGCCUUCGGGUUGUAAACUCCUUUCGCUAGGGACGAAGCUUUUUGUGACGGUACCUAGAGAAGAAGCACCGGCUAACUACGUG